This 927-nucleotide ribosomal RNA is filed under the name Enterococcus faecium. RNAcentral's name for it is "bacterial SSU rRNA". It matches the Rfam family "Bacterial small subunit ribosomal RNA", at positions 554 to 1474 of the family's 1533-position model. The record is from RNAcentral. Lineage: Bacteria; Bacillati; Bacillota; Bacilli; Lactobacillales; Enterococcaceae.
UUGGGCGUAAGCGAGCGCAGGCGGUUUCUUAAGUCUGAUGUGAAAGCCCCGGGCUCAACCGGGGAGGGGCAUUGGAAACUGGGAGACUUGAGUGCAGAAGAGGAAAGUGGAAUUCCAUGUGUAGCGGUGGAAUGCGUAGAUAUAUGGAAGAACACCAGUGGCGAAGGCGGCUCUCUGGUCUGUAACUGACGUUGAGGCUCGAAAGUGUGGGGAGCAAACAGGAUUAGAUACCCUGGUAGUCCACGCCGUAAACGAUGAGUGCUAAGUGUUGGAGGGUUUCCGCCCUUCAGUGCUGCAGCUAACGCAUUAAGCACUCCGCCUGGGGAGUACGACCGCAAGGUUGAAACUCAAAGGAAUUGACGGGGGCCCGCACAAGCGGUGGAGCAUGUGGUUUAAUUCGAAGCAACGCGAAGAACCUUACCAGGUCUUGACAUCCUUUGACCACUUUAGAGAUAGAGCUUUCCCUUCGGGGGCAAAAUGACAGGGGGUGCAUGGUUGUCCUCAGCUCGUGUCGUGAGAUGUUGGGUUAAGUCCCGCAACGAGCGCAACCCUUAUUGUUAGUUGCCAUCAUUUAGUUGGGCACUCUAGCAAGACUGCCGGUGACCAACCGGAAGAAGGUGGGGAUGACGUCAAAUCAUCAUGCCCCUUAUGACCUGGGCUACACACGUGCUACAAUGGGAAGUACAACGAGUUGCGAAACCGCGAGGGUAAGCUAAUCUCUUAAAGCUUCUCUCAGUUCGGAAUGCAAGCUGCAACUCCCCUGCCUGAAGCUGGAAUCCCUAGUAAUCCCGGAUCAACACGCCCCGGGUGAAUACGUUCCCCGGGCCUUGUACACACCCGCCCGUCACACCACGAGGAGUUUGUUAACACCCGAAGUCCGUGAGGCUAACCUUCUUGGAGACAAGCCGCCUCAAGUGCGAUAGAUGA